GUAGGGAAUCUUCCACAAUGGGCGGAAAGCCUGAUGGAGCAACGCCGCGUGUGUGAUGAAGGGUUUCGGCUCGUAAACACUGUUGUAAGAGAAGAAUGACAUUGAGAGUAACUGUUCAAUGUGUGACGGUAUCUUACCAGAAAGGAACGGCUAAAUACGUGCCA
Molecule: ribosomal RNA, 164 nt
Filed under: uncultured bacterium
Lineage: Bacteria
Description: partial 16S rRNA
Rfam family: Bacterial small subunit ribosomal RNA
Source: RNAcentral